UGCCAGACUCCUACGGGAGGCAGCAGUGGGGGAUAUUGCACAAUGGGGGAAACCCUGAUGCAGCGAUGCCGCGUGAGUGAAGACGGCCUUCGGGUUGUAAAGCUCUGUCGCAGAGGACGAAAAUGACGGUACUCUGUAAGAAAGCUCCGGCUAACUACGUGCCAGCAGCCGCGGUAAUACGUAGGGAGCAAGCGUUGUCCGGAAUUACUGGGUGUAAAGGGAGCGUAGACGGCGAAGAAAGUCUGAAGUGAAAGCCCGCGGCUCAACCGCGGAACUGCUUUGGAAACUUUUUUGCUGGAGUACCGGAGAGGUAAGCGGAAUUCCUAGUGUAGCGGUGAAAUGCGUAGAUAUUAGGAGGAACACCAGUGGCGAAGGCGGCUUACUGGACGGUAACUGACGUUGAGGCUCGAAAGCGUGGGGAGCAAACAGGAUUAGAUACCCCCGUAGAU
This 449-nucleotide ribosomal RNA is filed under the name uncultured bacterium. Its description in RNAcentral is "bacterial SSU rRNA". It matches the Rfam family "Bacterial small subunit ribosomal RNA", at positions 329 to 795 of the family's 1533-position model. The record is from RNAcentral.